This 433-nucleotide ribosomal RNA is filed under the name uncultured bacterium. RNAcentral describes it as "partial 16S ribosomal RNA". It matches the Rfam family "Bacterial small subunit ribosomal RNA", at positions 29 to 507 of the family's 1533-position model. The record is from RNAcentral.
AACGAACGCUGGCGGCAUGCCUAACACAUGCAAGUCGAACGAGACCUUCGGGUCUAGUGGCGCACGGGUGCGUAACGCGGGGGAACCUGCCCUUAGGUUCGGAAUAACUCCCCGAAAGGGGUGCUAAUACCGGAUAAUGUCUUCGGACCAAAGAUUUAUCGCCUUUGGAUGGGCCCGCGUUGGUUUAGCUAGUUGGUAGGGUAAAAGCCUACCAAGGCGACGAUCCAUAGCUGGUCUGAGAGGAUGAGCCGCCACACUGGGACUGAGACACGGCCCAGACUCCUACGCAAGGGAGCAGUGGGGAAUAUUGGACAAUGGGCGAAGGCCUGAUCCAGCAAUGCCGCGUGAGUGAUGAUGGCCUUAGGGUUGUAAAGCUCUUUUACCCGGGAUGAUAAUGACAGUACCGGGAGAAUAAGCUCCGGCUAACUCCGUG